CAGUAGGGUUGGGGAAGAAAGGUAGAGAGAAGGAGGAGCUUCUCUCUCUAGGCCUAUCUCGACAUCUUUUUUUUUACAUGAAACUAUUCUUCCUACUCUAGGAAACAACAAGUAUUUUAAAGCAUUCUCUAUUUAAUAUUUCAAAUCCCUUGAACUCAAACCAACGCAAAUAAAUGGAAGAGAUAUGACUAUUUUAUAAUUUUUUCCUAGAUGCACCAACACAUAGCAGAAUCUAAAAUGCAUAGUAAAGGUUUCCCAAAUGAGAAAGCAUACUGCAUAUCAAAUGAAGAAUAUAUAAGAGUAUUAUAGAAUAAACAUUAAGAGUAAAUACAAAGUUUAUUUCUGAAAGCAGAACAAACAACAAACACAUAACUACAGUCACGACACAUAACUUUAUAAGCCAACUAAAAUAUCUUAUCAAGAGCCAUCAAAUUAGAUACCUUAUUUCAUAUGAAAAUAAAUCAUACUUAAAGAGCUUAAUGGUACAGAGGGAAGUAAGUUUGGAUGUAGAUGUUCUUUCAGCCAAAGAAAAACAAGAAGAGGUGAGAACACCAACCUUUUAUUAUCGCCAUCGCGGACAAACUUUACACCUUCAUUACACAGAUUACACAUGCCCAACUGCACGGGGAUAAACUCGGAAGUCUAAUUGGAGCUCAGCAAGCUGCUACCGCAGAAAAAAGCUCCAAACGCAGAUGGAAUCCAGCUUGAAGAACCCAGAAAACAUCAGAGGAUGUCCUUUGGAACCAAUGAAAGGAUAGCUACUGAUUUCUUUGGUUUCCAGAACUUUUAACUCUUUAUUUUUUUCGUUUUUUUUAGAUCUAAACAUUGAAUUUGAACUCCAAAAGUUCUAAGUUUUCAACUUCUUCUUUUUCGUAUGAGAAUGUGUGUGUCAAGAAAGGAUUAGUAAGCAAUCGUAAUUUUGUGUGUGCACGCUCGAAAAAUUAUCCUGUGAAGGAGCGCCGUUUUCACUAUUUUUAGGGGUGAAUCGUCUAGGUCUAAAAAUCUGAUAGUGGUCUUCUUCUCAUAUAAGGGUAAGGAUGAAAGAGAUGGGCUUAGGUUUGGUGGAUCUGGGCUGGGCAAUUUAUUUG
This 1088-nucleotide long non-coding RNA is filed under the name Nicotiana benthamiana. RNAcentral's name for it is "long non-coding RNA (NBEN_LNC025700)". The record is from RNAcentral. Lineage: Eukaryota; Viridiplantae; Streptophyta; Magnoliopsida; Solanales; Solanaceae.